This is a non-coding RNA of Mycena metata, 92 nucleotides long. The record is from the annotation of a GenBank genome assembly. NCBI's taxonomy places the organism in Eukaryota, Fungi, Basidiomycota, Agaricomycetes, Agaricales, Mycenaceae.
GGCCAGAUAGCACAGCGGUUAGUGCGCGGAUAUUUGAUGGGGUUAAUAGUAGCAUUCGAUCUGCAACCCUCGUUCAACUUGGGGUCUGGCCU